RNAcentral lists this ribosomal RNA (499 nucleotides) under uncultured bacterium. Its description in RNAcentral is "partial 16S ribosomal RNA". It matches the Rfam family "Bacterial small subunit ribosomal RNA", at positions 28 to 507 of the family's 1533-position model. The record is from RNAcentral.
GACGAACGCUGGCGGCGUGCUUAACACAUGCAAGUCGAACGGGCCCGCUCUCUUUUUUGGGGGUGGGUUGAGUGGCGAACGGGUGAGUAUCACGUGAGUAACCUGCCCCCUGCUCCUGGAUAACUGCUUGAAAGGGCGGCUAAUACGGGGUGUGCCGGCUGGUCCGCAUGGGCCUGGUCGGGAUAGUUUCAUCUUCGGGUGUUUCGGUGGGGGAUGGGCUCGCGGCCUAUCAGCUUGUUGGUGGGGUGAUGGCCCACCAAGGCGGUGACGGGUAGCCGGCCUGAGAGGGUGGGCGGCCACACUGGGACUGAGACACGGCCCAGACUCCUGCGGGAGGCAGCAGUGGGGGGUAUUACACAAUGGGCGGAAGCCGGAUGCAGCGACGUCGCGUGAGGGAUGGAGGCCUUCGGGUUGUGAACCUCUUUCUCCGGUGGUGAAGGCCCUGUCCGUUGCGGCGGGGUUGACGGUAGCCGGGUAUGAAGCGCCGGCUAACUACGUG